CCAUAAGCAGUUUGGGACCAGGGCAGCACAUCUCCUCAUAGCAGUUAAACCUUGCCAGUGCAAUCAACCUUGUCUGCAAAUUAUUCUACAUUGUCUGACAACUGGUAACAGUGCUGAAAACAGAAAUGUCUAUCCAUGAAUUGAUCCAGAUGACAUGCAUCGUUGACAAUAAGGUUUCCCAAUGUAAAACACCACACUGACUUUCAAGGCCUGAAGGCUGUCUGCCUAUGCAAGUAAAAAAUAUCUGAAUGCUGGGGUGAUGGAUAUGGAAAAGAAUAGGAGUAGAUUAUAG
Long non-coding RNA from Zonotrichia leucophrys gambelii, 292 nucleotides. RefSeq lists it as uncharacterized. The record is from RefSeq and is a predicted model, not a curated record. NCBI's taxonomy places the organism in Eukaryota, Metazoa, Chordata, Aves, Passeriformes, Passerellidae. The transcript has 4 exons.